Molecule: ribosomal RNA, 305 nt
Filed under: uncultured bacterium
Lineage: Bacteria
Description: bacterial SSU rRNA
Rfam family: Bacterial small subunit ribosomal RNA
Source: RNAcentral
AUAUUCCUACGGGGCGCAGCAGUGAGGAAUAUUGGUCAAUGGGCGCAAGCCUGAACCAGCCAAGUCGCGUGAGGGAUGACGGUCCUAUGGAUUGUAAACCUCUUUUGUCGGGGAGCAAGGCCCGCCACGUGUGGCGGGAAGGAGAGUAUCCGAAGAAAAAGCAUCGGCUAACUCCGUGCCAGCAGCCGCGGUAAUACGGAGGAUGCGAGCGUUAUCCGGAUUUAUUGGGGUUAAAGGGGGCGUAGGCGGAAGGUUAAGUCAGCGGUCAAAUGUCGGUGCUCAACACCGGCCUGCCGUUGAAAAUG